UAAAAUAAUCUUAUCUGGUAAAGCGAAUGAUUAGAGGCCUUAGGGUCGAAACGAUCUUAACCUAUUCUCAAACUUUAAAUGGGUAAGAACCUUAACUUUCUUGAUAUGAAGUUUAAGGUUAUGAUAUAU
RNAcentral lists this non-coding RNA (129 nucleotides) under Drosophila ananassae. RNAcentral's name for it is "Eukaryotic large subunit ribosomal RNA". It matches the Rfam family "Eukaryotic large subunit ribosomal RNA", at positions 991 to 1117 of the family's 3401-position model. Lineage: Eukaryota; Metazoa; Arthropoda; Insecta; Diptera; Drosophilidae. The record is from Rfam by way of RNAcentral.